Molecule: long non-coding RNA, 1167 nt
Filed under: Homo sapiens (human)
Lineage: Eukaryota; Metazoa; Chordata; Mammalia; Primates; Hominidae
Description: novel transcript
Source: RNAcentral
CAUGCGCGGUGCACGAGCUGAUUUCUCAAGGCACAGUGACUCCCACCGUCGCUCGAGUGAUGGGUCCAUGAGGCUGGGCGAAGCAGGAGCCCACUGUGGCAGUGCGUCGGUAUCGAGGCUCCAGCCUGACCUCUCCCAGGGGUCAACAGGAUGGUCUCCGGACGCCAGGAGUCGCGGAGGGCCGACCAGGUUUGUGAAGGCCGGUUCGACCUGGGGAGCUGCGUUGGUCCCACAGGGAUUGAAACCUCCCCAUCCUGAGCGUCCUACUUUCGAGGAUCAAGACAACCACACCACACCCAAGGACCAAAGCCUCCCAGGAGCUUAUUGUCCUGCAGGAGUGCGUGCAGACCAACAUCAAAGAAGAUGGUUCUAACUCCUCCCACCUCCCACCUUCUCCUCUCAUUAAGAAAUGUAGCCCCACCGCGACAGUCUUGGAGAAGAAGCCGGGAACGGGACGCGGCAAGGAUCUCUGUGACUUAAAUCUGGCCUUUCUGGCCCAGUCUCCCAUUUGGCACUUCUUCCUGGAUGCGCAUGGUAGUGGCAUUGUGCUGUAUCCUGCCUGGGCUGUGGCCUCUGCUCUGUACUCCCUCUUGCUCUAUCUGCCAUAGGAGCCUAGAGGCUUGGUCUGGCUUAAAGUCUUCAACAAAGAACACUUUGGAGUCCGUGAGGGAGAAAUUUCGUGGAGAUCCGUUUCACAGUUGUUUCCCUCUCCAAACCUAUUUCUGGUCGAUUAGGCAGGUGCCAUGAUCCUCUGGGCUUCCAUACCUGUCUUGGACAGGGAAGCUCCCUUGGUCUCCAUGUCCCACCUGAUGGCUGCGUGGUUUGUUUCAGUCUAGGAUGAGCGAGUCUCGCUGUGUCACCCAGGCCGGAGUGCAGUGGUGCGAUGCACCAUCUCGGCUCUCGGCACGCUGCAACCUUCGCAACCUCUGCCUCCCGGGUUCAGUCGAUUCUCUUGACUCAGCCUCCUGCGAUUGGACUACAGGCAUGCACCACCAUACCCGGCUAAUUUUAGUAGAGACGGGGGUUUCACCAUGUUGGGCAGGCUUGUCUCGAACGCCUGACCUCGUGACUCCUGACCUGGUGAUCCGCCUGCCUCGGCCUCACGAAGUGUUGGGAUUACAGGCGUGAGCCACUGUGCCAGGCCAAGAGUAGUAAUCUUUUAACCGC